Molecule: long non-coding RNA, 1981 nt
Organism: Onychostoma macrolepis
Lineage: Eukaryota; Metazoa; Chordata; Actinopteri; Cypriniformes; Cyprinidae
Exons: 5
Source: RefSeq, a predicted model, not a curated record
AGGGGAGCUCUGCCGUAGUUGAGAAAUACGCUCUUGUUUGCCCCAACCUCAAGAGUGUAUCCCUCCACUGGCUCAUGUCAUAACCUGAGGAUGAAGAUCAUAGAAGUUAAUCUUACAUUAUAAACAGCUCGUGCCAGUCCAAAACUCUCGAUUCGUUUGUAUCGCUACGCUUGCUUUGUCUGUGUUUGUUGUAAAUGCUGGCUCCAAAAAUUAAUUAGUUUGUCAGGAAAUGUAUGUUUUCAUCGGCUGAGCAAAAGCUGGCUGGCAGUACCUGGCAAUAUUGUGUGUAAAAUAACAGGACAGGAAGCAGGCUUGAAGGUCUCACACUGCAAACACUGACCACUGAGGAAGUCGCUGUAUGAGGAACACGGAUAUGCCCACAUCUACAAACUGGGCAUCAGUUGGAUCAAGGCGUUCCUCAGGUGGAGCAUUGGCAAACAUUGGCCCUGCUGGGUCCAGACCUAGAGUCGACCAGAAUUGACACAGACUGAUCCACAAGUAAAGUAAGGCUGGAUUUUGGCAACCCAGUUCCUGUUCAUCUUGCUGUACGUCAUCUCAACAACACACAUCAACAUUUCAUGCUUCCAUUUCUCUUUGGCAUCAACCUGCACAAUAUCCUUCUGAUCAUCCUGCAGAUCCAUACACCAUAUGAUGUGUCCACCUCAUAUUUAAGCCACGCAACCUCUCAGGUUUCCAUGUAGAUUUCCGACUCUAGAGGUCAUCUGUGCUCUGUAAUUAGCCUGCACGCAAGUCACAAUUGGAUCAUGCUUCUAUAAAAAAGCAGAUCAUCCCACCUCUCCUUCCACAUGUUUCCCUGCCCCCUCCUCUUCCCCCGGUAAAAAGAUCUUCUGAGAUGAUUACAGGUGUCAGUCACAUGAGCUACAUGGGGGUUUGUUGUAUUUAACCCUCUUUCACACUGAUCUGUUAUGUCUGCCAUCUGCAAGCAUUACUCAUUACACACGUCACUGAGAUGACGUUGGUAAAUACAGGCUACAAAUGAAUCCUCAAGUCUUUGGAGCCUUUACUGUCCCAGAGAUAAAAUAAAUAAAUAAAUAAAUCAAGGUUAACCAAUUAUUUUCCUCAAAUUAUUCUUCUGACCUAAUCAAAAUCCAAAGUUUGUGUCUGUUUCACAACAAAGUGAACAUGCAGUUUUUGGAAACAUAAGAGGUAUCCAUUAUAGUAAUGUUUGGGUUCAAGCUGCGGUUAAAUUCUAUGCAUUUAUUCACAUUUUGAGUUUUGGGACUUUGAGACCUUCAACAUAAAUACUGUAAAAAAUGUUCUUUGAGAUAUUCAAUAGGUCAUUAGGUCUUUCGGACCCCAAACACAACAUGAAAGUUAAUGUUGUUGAAGCUCAUCACAUAGUUGACUAUAAUAAAUACAAAAUGUUGAAUCAAAAUUAAAUACAUCCCAAGUUACAAAUGUCCAUAUAGUCAUAGCUAAAUAUUUCAAAAUGAGAAGGAUUCAGCCAAAUCCCGAGAUAAUAAGAGUCAAAUGAGAUCAAAAGGUUAACCAAAUUGAAUCAGCAGUGCAAUCUGCUGGACAGAGUCCUGUCUCUUACCUUUACAAAGCAUAAAGAUGCUGAGCAAAAUCAGGGGACGCCACAGUGACAUCCUUACCAGAAGAUGAGACAGAGGUAGACACAAGGAAUAUCAAGAAAACUAAGAAACAACAUUGGCGUAUCUGUAGUAAAGGAAAGAGCCCAUAGAGGAAGGGUUGUGGGCGGAGCGAAGGAGAUCGAACGAGAUCACACAUGCUCACCCUGUGGUUAGUGGAGAGUGUGAUAAGUCAGCAGGCCAGCUUAGGACUUCCAGAAGAGUACAGAUCAUGAAAGAAGCAUCUGGUGAUGACUAAACGACUUUACAGAGACAGUUCAUCCAAAAAUGUAAAUUCUGUAUUUUAUUCACCUCAUGAUGUUCCAAACCUGUAUAACUUUCUUUCCUUUGUUAGAAUAAAGAAGAUAUUUUUGAAAACUUUGUUUGUU